CGUGGGCAACCUGCCUCAUAGAGGGGAAUAGCCUUCCGAAAGGGAGAUUAAUACCGCAUAAGAUUGUAGCUUCGCAUGAAGUAGCAAUUAAAGGAGCAAUCCGCUAUGAGAUGGGCCCGCGGCGCAUUAGCUAGUUGGUGAGGUAAUGGCUCACCAAGGCGACGAUGCGUAGCCGACCUGAGAGGGUGAUCGGCCACAUUGGGACUGAGACACGGCCCAGACUCCUACGGGAGGCAGCAUG
RNAcentral lists this ribosomal RNA (241 nucleotides) under uncultured bacterium. Its description in RNAcentral is "partial 16S ribosomal RNA". It matches the Rfam family "Bacterial small subunit ribosomal RNA", at positions 116 to 353 of the family's 1533-position model. The record is from RNAcentral.